GGGGCUGAUUCUGGAUUCGACGGGAUUUGCGAAACCCAAGGUGCAUGCCGAGGGGCGGUUGGCCUCGUAAAAAGCCGCAAAAAAUAGUCGCAAACGACGAAAACUACGCUUUAGCAGCUUAAUAACCUGCCUAGAGCCCUCUCUCCCUAGCCUCCGCUCUUAGGACGGGGAUCAAGAGAGGUCAAACCCAAAAGAGAUCGCGUGGAAGCCCUGCCUGGGGUUGAAGCGUUAAAACUUAAUCAGGCUAGUUUGUUAGUGGCGUGUCCGUCCGCAGCUGGCAAGCGAAUGUAAAGACUGACUAAGCAUGUAGUACCGAGGAUGUAGGAAUUUCGGACGCGGGUUCAACUCCCGCCAGCUCCACCA
This 363-nucleotide transfer-messenger RNA is filed under the name Escherichia coli. It matches the Rfam family "transfer-messenger RNA". Rfam says of the family: Bacterial tmRNA, also known as 10Sa RNA or SsrA, is named for its dual tRNA and mRNA-like properties. The record is from RNAcentral. Lineage: Bacteria; Pseudomonadati; Pseudomonadota; Gammaproteobacteria; Enterobacterales; Enterobacteriaceae.